AGGAGAGGGGCGGGACUUCUCCGGGUCAAGGCCAGGUCUCUUCCCUGCUCGGUGCUAUGUUCCUGUUCCACGGGGUGGCGGGUCCUGGGAGGGAGAAGCCCAGACCCAGUGGACACUGACAUUGUCUCUCGCUGUUCCCAGCCUUUUCCAGGCGUGUGACUUAAUCCGUUUCCACAGCCAGACCUUUUCUCCGUGAGUUCCUCAGCCAGGACUGCUGCCAUGCCGGUGACUGUUACCCACCCAACCGUCACGACCACCAUGCGGUCCCCCACCGUCGUAGGGUCCUCUAGGGCCCUGAUCCAGCCCCUGGGCCUCCUCCGCCUGCUGCAGCUGGUGUCCACCUGCGUGGCCUUGUCACUGGUGGCCAGCGUGGGCGCCUGGAAGGGGCCUAUGGGUAACUGGUCCAUGUUCACCUAGUGUUUCUGCUUUGCCAUGACCCUGGUCAUCCUCCUCGUGGAGCUGGGCGGCUCCCAGGCCCGCUUCCCCUUGUUUUGGCGCAACUUCCCCAUCACCUUUGCCUGCUAUGCGGCCCUCUUGUGCCUCUCGGCCUCCAUCAUCUACCCCACCACCUACUUGCAGUUCCUGUCCCACGGCCGUUCCCGCGACCACGCCAUCGCCGCCAUCGUCUUCUCUGGCAUCGCCUGUGUGGCUUACGCCACCGAAGUAACCUGGACCCGGGCCCGGCCCGGCGAGAUCACUGACUACAUGGCCUCCGAGCUGGGGCUGCUGAAGGUGCUGGAGACCUUCGUGGCCUGCCUCAUCUUCGUGUUCAUCAAUAGCCCCUACGUGUACCACAACCGGCCGGCCCUGGAGUGGUGGGUGGCGGUGUACGCCCUCUGCUUCGUCCUGGCGGCCCUCACUAUCCUGCUGAGCCUGGGGCACUGCACCAACAUGCUGCCCAUCCGCUUCCCCAGUUUCCUGUUGGGGCUGGCCUUGCUGUCCGUCCUCCUCUAUGCCACUGCCCUUGUCCUCUGGCCCCUCUACCAGUUCAACGAGAAGUAUGGUGUCCAGCCCUGGCAGACGAGAGAUGUGAGCUGCAGCGACAGAAACCCCUACCUUGUGUGUAUCUGGGACCGCCGACUGGCUGUGACCAACCUGACGGCCGUCAACUUGCUGGCCUAUGUGGGCGACCUGGUGUACUCUGCCCACCUGGUUUUUGUCAAGGUCUAAGACUCCCAAAGGGCCCCGUUUGCCUCUCCAACCUCUUCAUCCUGCCCCCGCUGAGUUUUCUUUAUUGAGUAUUCAUUUCCUGGGUUUUCCUCUUCCCUAUCUCCCCUCCUCCCCUUUUCUUUCCUUCCCAAUUCAUCGCACUUUCCCAGUUCUCUGAUGUAUGUUCUUCCCUUUCCUCUGCUGUUUCCUUCUUGUUUUGUUCUGUUGCCCACAACCUGUUUUCACCCGUUUCUCUUUUUCCACUCUCUCUUUUGUUUCUUUCCUCUCAAUUCUUUUCUAGGUUUCCUGUUGGUUUUCUUAUCUGCCUAUUUCCCGACCAUCUUCUCCUAUUUCCUGGGGAGCCCUGAGGCUUUUCUUCUCCUGCCCCCAAGCACCUCCAGCGGUGAUGAGCUCCACACCCCCACACCCAUUGCAGCUGUGGCGCCACGUCCUCCCAAGGGGCCUUCUGCCCGCCCCCGCCCUAGCUGUGCCUUAGUCAGUGUGUACUUGUGUGUGUUUGGGGGAGUGGGAAUUGGGCCCCCUUUCUCCCAGUGGAGGAAGGUGUGCUGUGCACCUCCCCUUUAAAUUAAAAAAAAUGUAUGUAUCUCUGGAAGUCAAUAAUUUCCAGUGAGCGGGAGGCUUCAAGCGCAGACCCUGGGUCCCUAGACCUCGCCUAGCACUCUGCCUUGCCAGAGAUUGGCUCCAGAAUUUGUGCCAGACUUACAGAAAACCCACUGCCUAGAGGCCAUCUUAAAGGAAGCAAUGGAUGGAUCCCUUUCAUCCCAACUGUUCUUCGCGGUAUCAAAAAAAAAAAAAAAAAAAAAAAGUCAGGCAAAGAACCGUAAGAUCUUGAAGACAACUGUUUGAAGUAUUUGUGAGGGACAGUGAUGUGGCCUUCCAGCCUCAGUGUUAAAAAUAACAUUUAACACUGUGUCCUUUUAACACGGUGUCCUUCAGAGCGUGUGGAAAGAAAUAAGUAAAUAAAUAAAUAAACAACA
Homo sapiens (human) is the source of this 2147-nucleotide long non-coding RNA. Ensembl annotates it as myeloid associated differentiation marker like (pseudogene). Its record names the gene MYADML. The record is from Ensembl. NCBI's taxonomy places the organism in Eukaryota, Metazoa, Chordata, Mammalia, Primates, Hominidae.